Molecule: ribosomal RNA, 1243 nt
Filed under: metagenome
Description: bacterial LSU rRNA
Rfam family: Bacterial large subunit ribosomal RNA
Source: RNAcentral
UGAAUACGAGAUGCUACGGCGUCGAAGCAGUCUAUGUCAUACUUCCAAGAAAAGCUCGCACUGUCAUAAACAAAUAAUGCCUGUACCAUAACCGACACAGGUGGGUAGGUAGAGUAUACUAAGGGGCGCGAGAUAACUCUCUCUAAGGAACUCGGCAAAAUGACUCCGUAACUUCGGGAGAAGGAGUGCCUUAUUUAUAAGGUUGCAAUAACAAGAUCCAAGCAACUGUUUAUCAAAAACACAGGUCUCCGCUAAGUCGUAAGACGAUGUAUGGGGGCUGACGCCUGCCCAGUGCCAGAAGGUUAAAGAAGUUGGUUAGCAUUCGCGAAGCUGAUAACUGAAGCCCUGGUGAACGGCGGCCGUAACGAUAACGGUCCUAAGGUAGCGAAAUUCCUUGUCGGGUAAGUUCCGACCCGCACGAAAGGCGUAAUGAUUUGGAUACUGUCUCGGAGAGGGGCUCGGUGAAAUAGACUUGUCUGUGAAGAUGCGGACUACCUGCACCAGGACAGAAAGACCCUAUGAAGCUUUACUGUAACUUGAGAUUGAAAUUGGACUUUACUUGCGCAGUAUAGGUGGGAGGCGUUGAUAAUAUUCUUGCGGGAUUAUUUGAGCCAUCAGUGAGAUACCACUCUUGUAAUGUUAGAUUUCUAACUUUGUAUCAUUAUCUGGUCAAAGGACAGUUUCAGGCGGGCAGUUUGACUGGGGCGGUCGCCUCCUAAACGGUAACGGAGGCGCACAAAGGUUUCCUCUGAACGGGUAGAAAUCGUAUCUAGAGUGUAAAGGCAUAAGGAAGCUUGACUGUGAUACCUACAAGUCGAGCAGGGACGAAAGUCGGUCUUAGUGAUCUGACGGUGCUGAGUGGAAAGGCCGUCACUCAACGGAUAAAAGUUACUCUAGGAUAACAGGCUGAUCUCCCCCAAGAGUUCACAUCGACGGGGAGGUUUGGCACCUCGAUGUCGGCUCAUCGCAUCCUGGGGCGGUAGUACGUCCCAAGGGUUGGGCUGUUCGCCCAUGAAAGCGGUACGCGAGCUGGGUUCAGAACGUCGUGAGACAGUUCGGUCCAUAUCCGGUGUAGGCGUUAGAAUAUUGAGAGGAGCCUUCUUUAGUACGAGAGGACCGAGAAGGACAUACCUCUGGUGUACCAGUUAUCGUGCCAACGGUAAACGCUGGGUAGCUAUGUAUGGAGUGGAUAACCGCUGAAAGCAUCUAAGUGGGAAGCCCACCUCAAGAUAAGUAUUCUCAU